This 363-nucleotide transfer-messenger RNA is filed under the name Salmonella enterica subsp. enterica serovar Gallinarum. It matches the Rfam family "transfer-messenger RNA". From Rfam's summary of the family: Bacterial tmRNA, also known as 10Sa RNA or SsrA, is named for its dual tRNA and mRNA-like properties. Its role is to liberate the mRNA from a stalled ribosome. To accomplish this part of the tmRNA is used as a reading frame that ends in a translation stop signal. The record is from RNAcentral. Lineage: Bacteria; Pseudomonadati; Pseudomonadota; Gammaproteobacteria; Enterobacterales; Enterobacteriaceae. RNAcentral also lists the same sequence under 3 other names.
GGGGCUGAUUCUGGAUUCGACGGGAUUUGCGAAACCCAAGGUGCAUGCCGAGGGGCGGUUGGCCUCGUAAAAAGCCGCAAAAAAAUAGUCGCAAACGACGAAAACUACGCUUUAGCAGCUUAAUAACCUGCUUAGAGCCCUCUCUCCCUAGCCUCCGCUCUUAGGACAGGGAUCAAGAGAGGUCAAACCCAAAAGAGAUCGCGCGGAUGCCCUGCCUGGGGUUGAAGCGUUAAAACGAAUCAGGCUAGUCUGGUAGUGGCGUGUCCGUCCGCAGGUGCCAGGCGAAUGUAAAGACUGACUAAGCAUGUAGUACCGAGGAUGUAGGAAUUUCGGACGCGGGUUCAACUCCCGCCAGCUCCACCA